GUGCUUCCCUCAGCAGCACAUAUACUAAAACUGGACUGAUACAGAGAAGAUUAGCAUGGUCCCUGCACAAGGAUGACAUGCAAAUUCGUGAAGCAGGCCAUGUUUUU
Molecule: small nuclear RNA, 107 nt
Organism: Rhinopithecus bieti (black snub-nosed monkey)
Lineage: Eukaryota; Metazoa; Chordata; Mammalia; Primates; Cercopithecidae
Source: Ensembl